AUCAGCUGUUACCACAUCCUCCUCCUGGCCUGCCCUCCUCCAUCCCCUUAUCCCCACCCCACCCCCCACUCUACCUCCGCCCCAACCCUCCUGGGUCUUCAGGAAAGAGAGGAGAUGGAACCCCAAAUAUGGGGGACCUGCUUCAGGCGUGCUAAUGUGGAGCCUCCCAGAGACUGCAAGUGGAAUGCACUGAUCCCAGAAACCAGAGGCUUUGGCUAGGAAGUCCUGCAGGAAGACCCAGCUCUUACCAGCUCUGAACUUGAAGAUGCUCAACAUCUCUGCACCUCAAUUUCCUCAUCCACAAAAUAGAGUGAAUAAUAAAUUCAGAGUUUAUUGUAGGGAUUAAAAAAGGAUUAUGUUGUUUUUAUUAAAAAUUUUUAAAAUGUUUAUUUUUGAGAGAGAGAGAGAGAGAGAGAGAGAGAGCACUUGAGGGGGGAGGAGCAGAAAGAGAGGA
Molecule: long non-coding RNA, 454 nt
Organism: Felis catus (domestic cat)
Lineage: Eukaryota; Metazoa; Chordata; Mammalia; Carnivora; Felidae
Exons: 3
Source: RefSeq, a predicted model, not a curated record